UACGUAGGGGGCAAGCGUUGUCCGGAUUUAUUGGGCGUAAAGAGCGUGUAGGCGGCUAGGUAGGUCCGUUGUGAAAACUCGAGGCUCAACCUCGAGCUGUCGAUGGAAACCAUCUAGCUAGAGUCCGGAAGAGGAGAGUGGAAUUCCUGGUGUAGCGGUGAAAUGCGCAGAUAUCAGGAAGAACACCCGUGGCUAAGGCGGCUCUCUAGUACGGUACUGACGCUGAGACGCGAAAGCGUGGGGAGCGAACAGG
Molecule: ribosomal RNA, 253 nt
Filed under: uncultured bacterium
Lineage: Bacteria
Description: partial 16S ribosomal RNA
Rfam family: Bacterial small subunit ribosomal RNA
Source: RNAcentral